RNAcentral lists this ribosomal RNA (485 nucleotides) under uncultured bacterium. RNAcentral describes it as "partial 16S ribosomal RNA". It matches the Rfam family "Bacterial small subunit ribosomal RNA", at positions 29 to 506 of the family's 1533-position model. The record is from RNAcentral.
AUUGAACGCUGGCGGCAUGCCUUACACAUGCAAGUCGAACGGCAGCACGGGUGCUUGCACCUGGUGGCGAGUGGCGAACGGGUGAGUAAUACAUCGGAACAUGUCCUGUAGUGGGGGAUAGCCCGGCGAAAGCCGGAUUAAUACCGCAUACGAUCUACGGAUGAAAGCGGGGGACCUUCGGGCCUCGCGCUAUAGGGUUGGCCGAUGGCUGAUUAGCUGGUUGGUGGGGUAAAGGCCUACCAAGGCGACGAUCAGUAGCUGGGCUGAGAGGACGACCAGCCACAAGGGGACUGAGACACGGCCCAGACUCCUACGGGAGGCAGCAGUGGGGAAUUUUGGACAAGGGGCGAAAGCCUGAUCCAGCAAGGCCGCGUGUGUGAAGAAGGCCUUCGGGUGGUAAAGCACUUUUGUCCGGAAAGAAAUCCUUGGCCCUAAUACGGUCGGGGGAUGACGGGACCGGAAGAAUAAGCACCGGCUAACUACGG